GAUGAACGCUGGCGGCGUGCCUAAUACAUGCAAGUCGAGCGAACAGACGAGGAGCUUGCUCCUCUGACGUUAGCGGCGGACGGGUGAGUAACACGUGGAUAACCUACCUAUAAGACUUGGAUAACUUCGUGAAACCGGAGCUAAUACCGGAUAAUAUAUUUAACCGCAUGGUUCAAUAGUGAAAGACGGUUUUGCUGUCUCUUAUAGAUGGAUCCGCGCCGCAUUAUCUAGUUGGUAAGGUAACGGCUUACCAAGGCAACGAUGCGUAGCCGACCUGAGAGGGUGAUCGGCCACACGGGAACUGAGACACGGUACAGACUCCUACGGGAGGCAGCAGUAGGGAAUAUUCCGAAAUGGGCGAAAGCAUGACGGAGCAACGCCGCGUGAGUGAUGAAGGUCUUCGGAUCGUAAAACUCUGUUAUUAGGGAAGAACAAAUGUGUAAGUAACUAUGCACGUCUUGACGGUACCUAAUCAGAAAGCAACGGCUAACUACGUG
RNAcentral lists this ribosomal RNA (497 nucleotides) under uncultured bacterium. Its description in RNAcentral is "partial 16S ribosomal RNA". It matches the Rfam family "Bacterial small subunit ribosomal RNA", at positions 28 to 507 of the family's 1533-position model. The record is from RNAcentral.